GAUGAACGCCGACAGAAUGCUUAACACAUGCAAGUCUACUUGAACUUCGGUUUGGGUGGCGGACGGGUGAGUAACGCGUAAAGAACUUGCCUCACAGAUAGGGACAACAUUUGGAAACGAAUGCUAAUACCUGAUAUUAUGAUUUUAGGGCAUCCUAGAAUUAUGAAAGCUAUAUGCACUGUGAGAGAGCUUUGCGUCCCAUUAGCUAGUUGGAGAGGUAACGGCUCACCAAGGCGAUGAUGGGUAGCCGGCCUGAGAGGGUAAUCGGCCACAAGGGGACUGAGACACGGCCCUUACUCCUACGGGAGGCAGCAGUGGGGAAUAUUGGACAAUGGACCAAGAGUCUGAUCCAGCAAUUCUGUGUGCACGAUGAAGUUUUUCGGAAUGUAAAGUGCUUUCAGUUGGGAAGAAAAAAAUGACGGUACCAACAGAAGAAGUGACGGUUAAAUACGUGCCAGCAGCCGCGGUAAUACGUACGUCACAAGCGUUAUCCGGAUUUAUUGGGCGUAAAGCGCGUCUAGGUGGUUAUGUAAGUCUGAUGUGAAAAUGCAGGGCUCAACUCUGUAUUGCGUUGGAAACUGUGUAACUAGAGUACUGGAGAGGUAAGCGGAACUACAAGUGUAGAGGUGAAAUUUGUAGAUAUUUGUAGGAAUGCCGAUGGGGAAGCCAGCUUACUGGACAGAUACUGACGCUGAAGCGCGAAAGCGUGGGUAGCAAACAGG
This 722-nucleotide ribosomal RNA is filed under the name uncultured Fusobacterium sp. RNAcentral describes it as "bacterial SSU rRNA". It matches the Rfam family "Bacterial small subunit ribosomal RNA", at positions 28 to 776 of the family's 1533-position model. Lineage: Bacteria; Fusobacteriati; Fusobacteriota; Fusobacteriia; Fusobacteriales; Fusobacteriaceae. The record is from RNAcentral.